GACGAACGCUGGCGGCGUGCUUAACACAUGCAAGUCGAACGGAAAGGCCCCUUUGGGGGUACUCGAGUGGCGAACGGGUGAGUAACACGUGAGUAACCUGCCCUUGACUUCGGGAUAACUUCAGGAAACUGGGGCUAAUACCGGAUAGGAAUCCUUGCUGCAUGGUGGUGGUUGGAAAGCUUCUGCGGUUUUGGAUGGACUCGCGGCUUAUCAGCUUGUUGGUGGGGUAGUGGCUUACCAAGGCUUUGACGGGUAGCCGGCCUGGGAGGGCGACUGGCCACAUUGGGACUGAGAUACGGCCCAGACUCCUACGGGAGGCAGCAGUGGGGAAUAUUGCACAAUGGGCGGAAGCCUGAUGCAGCAACGCCGCGUGCGGGAGGACGGCCUUCGGGUUGUAAACCGCUUUCAGCAGGGGCGAAGCUUGUGGUGACGGUACCUGCAGAAGAAGCACCGGCUAACUACGUG
Molecule: ribosomal RNA, 465 nt
Filed under: uncultured bacterium
Lineage: Bacteria
Description: partial 16S ribosomal RNA
Rfam family: Bacterial small subunit ribosomal RNA
Source: RNAcentral